GAUCAUGGCUCAGGACGAACGCUGGCGGCGCGCCUAACACAUGCAGGUCGAACGAGAGAUGAGGAGCUUGCUCUUCAAAUCGAGUGGCGAACGGGUGAGUAACGCGUGAGGAACCUGCCUCAAAGAGGGGGACAACAGUUGGAAACGACUGCUAAUACCGCAUAAGCCCACGGCUCGGCAUCGAGCAGAGGGAAAAGGAAGCAAUCCGCUUUGUAGAUGGCCGUCCGCGUCCGACUUAG
Molecule: ribosomal RNA, 239 nt
Filed under: uncultured bacterium
Lineage: Bacteria
Description: partial 16S ribosomal RNA
Rfam family: Bacterial small subunit ribosomal RNA
Source: RNAcentral